UUUGCUGGUCGUGAGACAUGUUGAGUGAUUUUAUAGUCUAUUCAUUUUAUUUUUAUAUCCCCACGUAGGUUGUACUGAAACCGGUAACAAUCACACAACAUCACUGUUCAUGUGUUGCUGGCACCUCAUUAUGCAACCACACAGUUGCAUUACUAUUCCAAUCUGCACACUAUUCCCAGAUGGGAACACCAGUCAUCCCACCUGUGCACAGCUGCACAGAGGCCGAGCAGCAGUGGCAUAAGCCAAGGACAAUGGGUCUGCAACCUGGGCCCAUAGGCAUAAUGACCAUCACCUAGCCCACCAAAAAGUGCACGGCAGAAGGAGGGAUUAGAAGUAUUCUACAGCGCCCUUCUUGGACCACUCCCCGACCUCUCAGUUCGCCAGAUAGAAGAGGCAUACAAGAACUUUGACCCUCUAUCCAAGCCAUUGAUCUGCAGCAUGGGGAUGUCUGCUGAAAAGCUUUUUGUCGGCUCCCACUUUGGAAAGGUACAGGUGGGUACAGGUGGGGAGCAUCCUGUCUAACCAGCAGCCUCCAAUCACAACGCGACACAUAGUUCACCAUAAGCGACACAUAGUUCACCAUAAGGAGACACAUAGUUCACCAUAAGGAGACACCACCAUUCCCUUCACUGCCCCUGGAUGGCUACAGACUAGAGAGUGACUGUCAAGGCUGCACAUGUGUGCUCAGUGAAGACGACCAGCUUCACAUAGUCUCUUCAGGUGAGAGAAUACAUAAAGACCCAGUGGUGUUCUCACUAAUUACAGAGAAGGGUGACUGGUACUACUUGUGUACAUGCAAAAGUUCCUAGGCAGGAAAGACUAAAUAACAAGG
This is a long non-coding RNA of Oncorhynchus gorbuscha (pink salmon), 832 nucleotides long. RefSeq lists it as uncharacterized. The transcript is spliced from 3 exons. Lineage: Eukaryota; Metazoa; Chordata; Actinopteri; Salmoniformes; Salmonidae. The record is from RefSeq and is a predicted model, not a curated record.